RNAcentral lists this ribosomal RNA (331 nucleotides) under uncultured bacterium. Its description in RNAcentral is "bacterial SSU rRNA". It matches the Rfam family "Bacterial small subunit ribosomal RNA", at positions 568 to 898 of the family's 1533-position model. The record is from RNAcentral.
CGCGUAGGUGGUUGUGUAAGUCGGAUGUGAAAUCCCCAGGCUUAACUUGGGAACUGCAUCUGAUACUGCAUGACUAGAGUGCAGCAGAGGGAAACGGAAUUCCUGGUGUAGAGGUGAAAUUCGUAGAUAUCAGGAGGAACACCGGUGGCGAAGGCGGUUUCCUGGGCUGACACUGACACUGAGGCGCGAAAGCGUGGGUAGCAAACAGGAUUAGAUACCCUGGUAGUCCACGCUGUAAACGGUGAGUGCUGGGUGUGGGAGGUGUAAUGCCUUCUGUGCCGAAGCUAACGCGUUAAGCACUCCGCCUGGGGAGUACGGCCGCAAGGUUGAA